RNAcentral lists this ribosomal RNA (460 nucleotides) under uncultured bacterium. Its description in RNAcentral is "partial 16S ribosomal RNA". It matches the Rfam family "Bacterial small subunit ribosomal RNA", at positions 338 to 795 of the family's 1533-position model. The record is from RNAcentral.
CCUACGGGGGGCAGCAGUGAGGAAUAUUGGUCAAUGGGCGCGAGCCUGAACCAGCCAAGUAGCGUGAAGGAUGACUGCCCUACGUGUUGUAAACUUCUUUUGUAAAGGAAUAAAGUGUGGCACGAGUGCCUUUUUGAAUGUACUUUAUGAAUAAGCAUCGGCUAACUCCGUGCCAGCAGCCGCGGUAAUACGGAGGAUCCGAGCGUUAUCCGGAUUUAUUGGGUUUAAAGGGAGCGUAGAUGGGUUGUUAAGUCAGUUGUGAAAGUUUGGGGCUCAACCGUAAAAUUGCAAUUGAUACUGGAAGUCUUGAGUACAGGUGAGGUAGGCGGAAUUCGUGGUGUAGCGGUGAAAUGCUUAGAUAUCACGAAGAACUCCGAUUGCGAAGGCAGCUUACUAAACUGACACUGACAUUGAUGCUCGAAAGUGUGGGUAUCAAACAGGAUUAGAUACCCUUGUAGUC